GUAAGGAAUAUUGGUCAAUGGGCGGAAGCCUGAACCAGCCAUGCCGCGUGCAGGAUGACUGCCCUAUGGGUUGUAAACUGCUUUUGUCCAGGAAUAAACCUAAAUACGUGUAUUUAGCUGAAUGUACUGGAAGAAUAAGGAUCGGCUAACUCCGUGCCAGCAGCCGCGGUAAUACGGAGGAUCCGAGCGUUAUCCGGAUUUAUUGGGUUUAAAGGGUGCGUAGGCGGCCUAUUAAGUCAGGGGUGAAAUACGGUGGCUCAACCAUCGCAGUGCCUUUGAUACUGAUGGGCUUGAAUCCAUUUGAAGUGGGCGGAAUAAGACAAGUAGCGGUGAAAUGCAUAGAUAUGUCUUAGAACUCCGAUUGCGAAGGCAGCUCACUAAGCUGGUAUUGACGCUGAUGCACGAAAGCGUGGGGAUCGAACAGG
RNAcentral lists this ribosomal RNA (425 nucleotides) under uncultured bacterium. RNAcentral's name for it is "bacterial SSU rRNA". It matches the Rfam family "Bacterial small subunit ribosomal RNA", at positions 354 to 776 of the family's 1533-position model. RNAcentral also lists the same sequence under 1 other name. The record is from RNAcentral.